Long non-coding RNA from Oreochromis niloticus (Nile tilapia), 2965 nucleotides. RefSeq lists it as uncharacterized. The record is from RefSeq and is a predicted model, not a curated record. The transcript has 8 exons. NCBI's taxonomy places the organism in Eukaryota, Metazoa, Chordata, Actinopteri, Cichliformes, Cichlidae.
CGGGGGUGUGUGCGAGAGGGCGUGGUUUAAUUCUGUUGCUGUGAAAAUGUCGAUGGACUACGGGUUUUCAUUAGGGCAAGGGACCACUCUGGAGCCACUGUUAACCAAGAGGUUGAUGGGAGGUUAUAUCAGCGACGAAGAAGCAGUUAUGGUGAACCGGAGAGGUUGCGAAAGAGUUGCUGUCGGUAAGCAGCCUCAUCUUCAGAUCUUCAGGAAGAAACUGUUUAUUUACAUCCACUGGCUGCUCCUAUGAGUCAUGUAACAUAAUCUGUAUGUAUAUAGGCUAUAGUGCCCCUACUCUGGGUGAUGAGCUGUUUUAGUGAUGUUUACUAACGUUCUUCGUUUGUUUGGGGGGGUUUGUUUUUUUUCUGUGUUAUAUAAUUGUACCACCGUUGAGCUUUGCUUAUUUAAAACUACUGCUAAUCGUAAAACAGUUGCUAUGUUUCCUUUUAUUAAAGGCUGAUUAAAAAUUACGCAUGAACGUGAUAUGAUUAUUAUAGUGCAGUGCGCAGUUUCCAGGGUUGCUUCCCAACGUUACCCGGAAAUAAUUUAGAAAAAAAAAGAAAAAGUAUAUGCUACGAACUGUUCCCUUAUAAAACAUGUCUGUGCGCAUUUGUGGCUCAUUUUCUUCGGAGACAGUGAGAGGGGCAGAGUUGGGUGGGAAGGUGUGCUGGAUGCUUACUGCAGGAGGAUGUUGCGCACUUCAAUUUACCCCCGGAGUGAGUGGUCCGUGCAUCCAUGCGGUACUGCGUAAUAAUUUGUUUUCGAGAAAGAUAUUGCUAACGUGUUUGUUUAUGACUUUUAGUUUGUCAUUUCGGGUGCAGAAUUUAUAUUAUUGAAAUUUAGGACGUGUUGUCAUGUGCAUGAGUGUCUUGGUUGAGUAAGUUUAAAAUUAAGUUACAAAACGGGAUAAAACUAGUUUACUGUGAAAACUGUAAUUCAUAAUAGGUAAACUAUAGAGGAGCUACUACUCUUUCAGUCACUUUGCGUGAUAUACUGACUUUGAAUUGUGUUAUGAUUGCACCUGUCAGAGUGCGUCACGCUAAUAUAGCACAAUGUAUUCUUAACAUAUUUAAACUAUCAUGUUGAAAGUAAUACAAAAUAACCAAUAAAAUAUGCCAAAACUUAAAAUUAUAUAAGAUGGGGGUUUUUUCUUCCGCUGUUCAUGAGCAAAAUUAGAUCCUUGAGUUACUAAUUACAAAACUUGCUCCCGAUUUAUUUCUAAAGGCUCAUUUUUUGUUGUUUGUUAAUGUUUAUUGUGUGCCCCUGUUGUUCCAGUGCCUUGACUCAGCUCCAUCCAUCCAGAGGUUUCUGUCAUACGCACUUUUUAUUCCUGAUGUAAACAAACCGUCAGAGGGCAAUACCUUCGAUCACCAAAAGAUGGCGUAUUUACGCAGGGUUACAGAACAGUUUGUUCUGAAGCAAGAAAGUUGUCUAAACACUGUUCUUGGAAUGAGUCAGAUAUUGGGAAGCAUUGAUGCAACACUACAGAUUGAGGGUGAAACAGCAGUUUGCGCAUCUAAAUGAGGGAGCAAAAGUAGAGACACGUUCAACUUCCCUUGAAAGGUGAGAACCAGCGCACUUCUCAGAAAACCAGGAGCUCCUCUGACGGCAAAGCUCUGCCAGAUGUCUCUUCAUGAUACAGCGACUGAUGCUUGAACACUUCUGAGAGGCAACUUGAAACCAGACCAUUGCGUGAAUUUGUCGUAUCGUUCCGCAGUCGGGAGGAAAAGCAGUUGUAGUGUUCACAAGGUACCAUACUGUAGUUCAGUGCCAAUGUCUCAUUUAUAUUAGAAAUGAAGAAACAUCUGUUCGAGGGCAGCGUUGAGGCUUGGAGCACUGAAAGAGGAAGUACAUGUUGUAGGGCUAUUCACGGUCUUGAUGUGUCAGAGUCGGGAUGUGAUGUGGCUGGAGAGCAGCAUACAAUCAUCCUCUCUAUUCUUUUGAGCAGCCGAGAGAAGAGGAUUUGUCAAGGUCUGUUUGCAUAGCGCUGCAGGUGAGCCCGUAUGUUACAGACAUACAGUACAGUGGCAGCAUUUACUGUGUAUCUGUUCUUUUUUGGCCCAUCACACAUCCACGAAGCUUGGAUCAAGUAGCAGAUCAGCCGCGUGGGCGUGUUAGAGAGAAAUAGAUUGAGACGGAGAGGUGUUCUGGUGCUUUCUCAGUGCUUUUCAUUUCAUCUCUCUCUCUUUAUCUGCCAUCAUCUGCUUCCCUUCUCUCCGAUUUCUGAACAAGAUUCUGCUAAAUUUUACACCAAAGAAGACGGCCUUUCAUCAGAGGUUCCCCCUUUGGAAGCUGGUUUCAGAUGGUGGCUUAGAGUAUUGUCAUCUAUCUAGCACCAUUUGAAAUCAGUGUUCUUGGGGCGGGAAGUAUGUUUCAAUGACCAGCUCCAGGCAGCUGUGAGGUGUCAAAAGAAGUGCCCAGUGAUAAAGGUACAACAUGGAAAUGUCACCACUGGAAGAUGGAGUACCACUCGCAGAACUACAAACUUCUGGUCUACAGUGACGUUUUGCCAGCUUCUGCUUUUUGUCCUCUUUCCAAGGUUGACCGAUUUCUUUCGGUGUUCAGAGUCUGCUUCUGUUUCUAGCACCAUUUGAAAUCGGUUACAGUGAAGGACAGAUCUCAUCUUACCUUGAGGACGAUUUUGCAACUAAGUGGUCCGCUUUUUGUUUUUGUUUUAAAUUACCUUUGUAAAAUCUAUAGACAUUGAUAUGUUUGUUUAAAAAAAAAUCUGUUGGGUUAUCCAACUCAAAAGUUUUGGGUCACCCAGAAGAUCCCAAUUUUUAAUUAAAGCUUUAACUUCCAUCCAUCCACUUUCUUAACUGCUUAUCUAGUUCAGAGCCACAGAGAAACGAGAGGGAGGGUACAACCUGGAUAGCUCACUAUUUCACCACCUGACUAACCAUUCACAUUUACAGUUACUUUGGAAUCACCAAAAGUAUGUCAGCACUGUGGGAUGUUGCAA